CAUUACCAUAAGAGAAAAUAUCUUGUUAUGGUCGAUACCAUAAUGCUGUCAAUAUCCUUAGGCAAUCAGAUGAGUAUUUUAAGUCUCCACCUUCUCGUCUGUGCUACUCUGAUCCUGUUGAAGAUCUACUUACACUCUAUGAGCUUUACCCUUCAAGUGAAUCAACGAGCGUCCAUACACCGUUGACCUUCAUAGACUUCAUUUCGGAUCUAUGGCUCCAAGCCAUUAUUCAGAGUUGAACCUCUGUAUGGCAUCCAUGUAGAUGAUCAGAUCCUUGUUGUUCUCAUCAAGUUCAACAAGUUUACAUUCCAGACCUA
Molecule: long non-coding RNA, 317 nt
Filed under: Elaeis guineensis (African oil palm)
Lineage: Eukaryota; Viridiplantae; Streptophyta; Magnoliopsida; Arecales; Arecaceae
Description: long non-coding RNA (EGUI_LNC065325)
Source: RNAcentral